GGGUCGAUGCCUGAGUGGUUAAAAGGGACGGAUUGUAAAUCCGUUGGCAAUGCCUACGUUGGUUCAAAUCUAACUCGGCCCA
This 82-nucleotide transfer RNA is filed under the name Vaucheria litorea. RNAcentral's name for it is "tRNA-Tyr". It matches the Rfam family "tRNA". Rfam says of the family: Transfer RNA (tRNA) molecules are approximately 80 nucleotides in length. Their secondary structure includes four short double-helical elements and three loops (D, anti-codon, and T loops). Further hydrogen bonds mediate the characteristic L-shaped molecular structure. tRNAs have two regions of fundamental functional importance: the anti-codon, which is responsible for specific mRNA codon recognition, and the 3' end, to which the tRNAs corresponding amino acid is attached (by aminoacyl-tRNA synthetases). tRNAs cope with the degeneracy of the genetic code in two manners: having more than one tRNA (with a specific anti-codon) for a particular amino acid; and 'wobble' base-pairing, i.e. permitting non-standard base-pairing at the 3rd anti-codon position. Lineage: Eukaryota; Xanthophyceae; Vaucheriales; Vaucheriaceae. The record is from RNAcentral.